This 418-nucleotide ribosomal RNA is filed under the name uncultured Methanomicrobiales archaeon. RNAcentral's name for it is "bacterial SSU rRNA". It matches the Rfam family "Archaeal small subunit ribosomal RNA", at positions 920 to 1338 of the family's 1478-position model. Lineage: Archaea; Methanobacteriati; Methanobacteriota; Methanomicrobia; Methanomicrobiales. The record is from RNAcentral.
GGGAAACUCACCAGAUAAGACAGCUGAAUGAUAGUCGGGCUGAAGACUCUACUUGACUAGCUGAGAGGAGUGCAUGGCCGUCGUCAGUUCGUACUGUGAAGCAUCCUGUUAAGUCAGGCAACGAGCGAGACCCACGCCAACAGUUGCCAGCUCGUCCUCCGGGAUGGUGGGGACACUGCUGGGACCGCCUCUGCUAAAGAGGAGGAAGGAAUGGGCAACGGUAGGUCAGCAUGCCCCGAAUUAUCUGGGCUACACGCGGGCUACAAUGGGUGGGACAAUGGGUAUCGACACCGAAAGGUGAAGGCAAUCUCCUAAACCCAUCCGUAGUUCGGAUUGUGGGCUGCAACUCGCCCACAUGAAGCUGGAAUCUGUAGUAAUCGUGUCUCAAAAUGGCACGGUGAAUAUGUCCCUGCUCCUU